Molecule: long non-coding RNA, 936 nt
Filed under: Gallus gallus (chicken)
Lineage: Eukaryota; Metazoa; Chordata; Aves; Galliformes; Phasianidae
Description: long non-coding RNA NONGGAT002158
Source: RNAcentral
CCACCUCCUGCACACCGCCACAGUGCCACCCCAUGCACGGGGCUGGGCCCUGAGCCAUGGCCAGGCUGGAGCCUGGUGGGAGAGUUAAAGCUCACGUGGAGAGCUGUACUAAAGCCCCAGCAGCUGACAGAGAUUCAGAUACGCACUUGGAAAGCAGUAUUGAGUCACCCAGGACAAACACACGAAUCACAACGGAAGUUUUCACUCCUUGAGCCCAGGCAGGAAUUCCCUCCACAGCACGGCAGAGAAUUUCAGAGAAGAUGAGCAUGACUUGGGCACGUCCUCGGACUGAGACAGAAUAAAAUGGCUUGCAGCAAGCAAGGUUUGUUGGUUCAUUUUGCUGCUACCAGCAGAUUUACACACCCACCCUCCCCCCCCAAUACCCGAGUACAACAUGGUUCCAUCCCCAGGCUGCCUUUGCAUCACCUCACUCAACAGCCAGCAGCCUCCAGUAUGCCAUAUGCUGCCAUGCUCCAACCUGCGUGGACUGCGGGCUGCUCGGAUGAGAACAGGACUGACAUGGCAAGCUAAGGGCUCUACUGAACCCAGCCAACCUGGGGAUGUUCUUAAGAAGUUGGGAGUUACCUGUAAAACAAAGCUUGGGGAAUUUCUCCAGAAUCCCGAGCUAAUUAAAAAACACAUUGCUAGCAUCGUGGCCAAAAAGCUACCGGUGCGGAUUUACCGCGCGUUAACAUAAAGGCUGAAAGCGCCCAGGAAGCAAUUUUCAGUCUGCUUUUGGUCUGCUGCAAGAGAUAAGACUUUUCCUAAAUGUAAACCAUUAGCAAAGCAUUUUCCAAAAUGUUUCAAAUUGGAGUGGUGCAGCCACUUUUAGUAGCCUUCUAUAAUGUUAAGCGUUAAAAUGGAUCAAGUAUACAAAGGCACCUAUCAUAGUACCAGUUUCAUCUCAUUUCUUUACAGAAAAGAAUUUGAACUGGG